AACGAACGCUGGCGGCAGGCUUGACACAUGCAAGUCGAACGCCCCGCAAGGGGAGUGGCAGACGGGUGAGUAACGCGUGGGAACAUACCCUUUUCUACGGAAUAGCUCUGGGAAACUGGAAUUAAUACCGUAUACGCCCUACGGGGGAAAGAUUUAUCGGGGAAGGAUUGGCCCGCGUUGGAUUAGCUAGUUGGUGGGGUAAAGGCCUACCAAGGCGACGAUCCAUAGCUGGUCUGAGAGGAUGAUCAGCCACAUUGGGACUGAGACACGGCCCAAACUCCUACGGGAGGCAGCAGUGGGGAAUAUUGGACAAUGGGCGCAAGCCUGAUCCAGCCAUGCCGCGUGAGUGAUGAAGGCCUUAGGGUUGUAAAGCUCUUUCACCGAUGAAGAUAAUGACGGUAGUCGGAGAAGAAGCCCCGGCUAACUUCGUG
RNAcentral lists this ribosomal RNA (431 nucleotides) under uncultured bacterium. RNAcentral's name for it is "partial 16S ribosomal RNA". It matches the Rfam family "Bacterial small subunit ribosomal RNA", at positions 29 to 507 of the family's 1533-position model. The record is from RNAcentral.